RNAcentral lists this small RNA (77 nucleotides) under Salmonella enterica subsp. enterica serovar Mbandaka. RNAcentral describes it as "RtT RNA". It matches the Rfam family "RtT RNA", at positions 37 to 111 of the family's 130-position model. Rfam says of the family: This family represents a bacterial cis-regulatory element known as RtT RNA. The exact function of RtT is unknown although it is thought that it may be involved in changing the cellular response in relation to amino acid starvation. The record is from RNAcentral. Lineage: Bacteria; Pseudomonadati; Pseudomonadota; Gammaproteobacteria; Enterobacterales; Enterobacteriaceae.
CAAGAGGUUCGACUCGAGCGAAGCGAGAGAACGUUGCGUCAGCAACGGCCCGCAGGGCGAGCCACGCAGUGGCGAGU